This 464-nucleotide ribosomal RNA is filed under the name uncultured Chitinophagaceae bacterium. Its description in RNAcentral is "bacterial SSU rRNA". It matches the Rfam family "Bacterial small subunit ribosomal RNA", at positions 335 to 796 of the family's 1533-position model. Lineage: Bacteria; Pseudomonadati; Bacteroidota; Chitinophagia; Chitinophagales; Chitinophagaceae. The record is from RNAcentral.
CGCCCUACGGGGGGCUGCAGUAAGGAAUAUUGGUCAAUGGACGCAAGUCUGAACCAGCCAUGCCGCGUGGAGGAUGAAGGUCCUCUGGAUUGUAAACUUCUUUUAUCUGGGACGAAACACUUCUUUUCUAAGAGGCCUGACGGUACCAGAUGAAUAAGCACCGGCUAACUCCGUGCCAGCAGCCGCGGUAAUACGGAGGGUGCAAGCGUUAUCCGGAUUCACUGGGUUUAAAGGGUGCGUAGGUGGGUAUGUAAGUCAGUGGUGAAAUCCCCGAGCUUAACUUGGGAACUGCCGUUGAUACUAUAUAUCUUGAAUGCCGUAGAGGUAAGCGGAAUAUGUCAUGUAGCGGUGAAAUGCUUAGAUAUGACAUAGAACACCAAUUGCGAAGGCAGCUUACUAUGCGGUUAUUGACACUGAGGCACGAAAGCGUGGGUAGCAAACAGGAUUAGAUACCCCAGUAGUCG